Molecule: ribosomal RNA, 771 nt
Filed under: Acinetobacter baumannii
Lineage: Bacteria; Pseudomonadati; Pseudomonadota; Gammaproteobacteria; Moraxellales; Moraxellaceae
Description: partial 23S ribosomal RNA
Rfam family: Bacterial large subunit ribosomal RNA
Source: RNAcentral
UAGGGCGAGGCACGUGAAACCUUGUCUGAAUAUGGGGGGACCAUCCUCCAAGGCUAAAUACUCCUGACUGACCGAUAGUGAACCAGUACCGUGAGGGAAAGGCGAAAAGAACCCCUGUGAGGGGAGUGAAAUAGAUCCUGAAACCGCAUGCAUACAAGCAGUGGGAGCACCUUCGUGGUGUGACUGCGUACCUUUUGUAUAAUGGGUCAGCGACUUAUAUUCAGUAGCAAGGUUAACCGUAUAGGGGAGCCGUAGAGAAAUCGAGUCUUAAUAGGGCGUUUAGUUGCUGGGUAUAGACCCGAAACCAGGCGAUCUAUCCAUGAGCAGGUUGAAGGUUGGGUAACACUAACUGGAGGACCGAACCCACUGUCGUUGAAAAGCCAGGGGAUGACUUGUGGAUAGGGGUGAAAGGCUAAUCAAGCCUGGUGAUAGCUGGUUCUCCCCGAAAGCUAUUUAGGUAGCGCCUCGGACGAAUACCAUAGGGGGUAGAGCACUGUUUCGGCUAGGGGGUCAUCCCGACUUACCAAACCGAUGCAAACUCCGAAUACCUAUGAGUACUAUCCGGGAGACAGACUGCGGGUGCUAACGUCCGUAGUCAAGAGGAAAACAAUCCAGACCGCCAGCUAAGGCCCCAAAAUCAUAGUUAAGUGGGAAACGAUGUGGGAAGGCAUAGACAGCUAGGAGGUUGGCUUAGAAGCAGCCACCCUUUAAAGAAAGCGUAAUAGCUCACUAGUCGAGUCGGCCUGCGCGGAAGAUGUAACGGGGCUAAAA